GCUCAGGACGAACGCUGGCGGCGUGCUUAACACAUGCAAGUCGAACGGGGUGUUUAUUUCGGUAAACACCAAGUGGCGAACGGGUGAGUAACGCGUAAGCAAUCUACCUUCAAGAUGGGGACAACACUUCGAAAGGGGUGCUAAUACCGAAUGAAUGUAAGAGUAUCGCAUGAGACACUUACUAAAGGAGGCCUCUGAAAAUGCUUCCGCUUGAAGAUGAGCUUGCGUCUGAUUAGCUAGUUGGUGAGGGUAAAGGCCCACCAAGGCGACGAUCAGUAGCCGGUCUGAGAGGAUGAACGGCCACAUUGGGACUGAGACACGGCCCAGACUCCUACGGGAGGCAGCAGUGGGGAAUCUUCCGCAAUGGGCGAAAGCCUGACGGAGCAACGCCGCGUGAACGAUGAAGGUCUUAGGAUCGUAAAGUUCUGUUGUUAGGGACGAAGGAUAAGGAUUAUAAUACAGUCUUUGUUUGACGGUACCUAACGAGGAAGCCACGGCUAACUACGUGCCAGCAGCCGCGGUAAUACGUAGGCGGCAAGCGUUGUCCGGAAUUAUUGGGCGUAAAGGGAGCGCAGGCGGGAAACUAAGCGGAUCUUAAAAGUGCGGGGCUCAACCCCGUGAUGGGGUCCGAACUGGUUUUCUUGAGUGCAGGAGAGGAAAGCGGAAUUCCCAGUGUAGCGGUGAAAUGCGUAGAUAUUGGGAAGAACACCAGUGGCGAAGGCGGCUUUCUGGACUGUAACUGACGCUGAGGCUCGAAAGCUAGGGUAGCGAACGGGAUUAGAUACCCCGGUAGUCCUAGCCGUAAACGAUGGAUACUAGGUGUGGGAGGUAUCGACUCCUUCCGUGCCGGAGUUAACGCAAUAAGUAUCCCGCCUGGGGAGU
This 882-nucleotide ribosomal RNA is filed under the name uncultured bacterium. RNAcentral describes it as "bacterial SSU rRNA". It matches the Rfam family "Bacterial small subunit ribosomal RNA", at positions 22 to 881 of the family's 1533-position model. The record is from RNAcentral.